GUUGACCUCGGAUCAGGUAGGAAUACCCGCUGAACUUAAGCAUAUCAAUAAGCGGAGGAAAAGAAACCAACAGGGAUUGCCCCAGUAACGGCGAGUGAAGCGGCAACAGCUCAAAUUUGAAAUCUGGCCCCAGGCCCGAGUUGUAAUUUGCAGAGGAUGCUUUUGGCGCGGUGCCUUCCGAGUUCCCUGGAACGGGACGCCAUAGAGGGUGAGAGCCCCGUACGGUUGGACACCAAGCCUUUGUAAAGCUCCUUCGACGAGUCGAGUAGUUUGGGAAUGCUGCUCUAAAUGGGAGGUACAUUUCUUCUAAAGCUAAAUAUUUGGCCAGAGACCGAUAGCGCACAAGUAGAGUGAUCGAAAGAUGAAAAGCACUUUGAAAAGAGGGUUAAACAGCACGUGAAAUUGUUAAAAGGGAAGCGCUUGUGACCAGACUUGCGUCCGGUGAAUCACCCAGCUCUCGCGGCUGGGGCACUUCGCCGGCACAGGCCAGCAUCAGCUUGCCGUCGGGGACAAAAGCUUCAGGAACGUGGCUCCUCUCGGGGAGUGUUAUAGCCUGUUGCAUAAUACCCUUCGGCGGUCUGAGGUACGCGCUCCGCAA
RNAcentral lists this ribosomal RNA (598 nucleotides) under Colletotrichum acutatum. RNAcentral's name for it is "LSU rRNA". It matches the Rfam family "Eukaryotic large subunit ribosomal RNA", at positions 1 to 607 of the family's 3401-position model. The record is from RNAcentral. Lineage: Eukaryota; Fungi; Ascomycota; Sordariomycetes; Glomerellales; Glomerellaceae.